This 253-nucleotide ribosomal RNA is filed under the name uncultured bacterium. RNAcentral's name for it is "partial 16S ribosomal RNA". It matches the Rfam family "Bacterial small subunit ribosomal RNA", at positions 524 to 776 of the family's 1533-position model. The record is from RNAcentral.
UACGUAGGGUGCGAGCGUUGUCCGGAAUUAUUGGGCGUAAAGAGCUUGUAGGCGGUUUGUCGCGUCUGCUGUGAAAAUCCGGGGCUCAACCCCGGACUUGCAGUGGGUACGGGCAGACUAGAGUGCGGUAGGGGAGAAUGGAAUUCCUGGUGUAGCGGUGGAAUGCGCAGAUAUCAGGAGGAACACCGAUGGCGAAGGCAGGUCACUGGGCCGCAACUGACGCUGAGGAGCGAAAGCAUGGGGAGCGAACAGG